CAGCUAUGGGUGUGACAGAAGAGUGAAUUAGGUGGUAGAUGAGUCAGUUAGUCAGAGUUUGCUGGCUGUGAUGCGAGGAGGAAGGAACAGGAGGUUAUGCAAGGGACAGAAAGGGCAAGGUGGCCGUGCUAGGGACAGGUAGGGGCAAGCAGGAAAUGCAGAAGGAAGGUAGAAGAAGUGAGAGAAAGAGCCAGGGCUGUGUGGAGCUACUCAUGGGACUGCAACAGAGAAAAGGACAACAACUGGUUCCAGCACUCUGUCUCUCAUAUUCUUCAAUCCUUCCUGUUUCUGCCUCUUCAUUUGGAAGUGUUGCGUUCCACCAAAGAUAUAUCACUGUAUUCCAGACACUCCUAAAGGCAGUAAGAGGAAUCCAGCAGCUGCAGCAGAAUUGGACCUUCCAGAACACAUGCCCCAUGCUUUUCUAGCGACUUUAAUACACUGAGGAGUGUCAGUCCAGCUUCAUCACUUCAGAGAAAGUUUGAAAUCAUCAGAUGAAGAGCAGAGAAGCAAAUGACAAUUGCAGCACAGCAUGAAAAAAUGUCAUUGACCAGCUAUGGGAUUUAAUACCAUUCGAAGCUGAAAUACCUGACUGCUACUUCCUUAAAAAUUCAAAAUUCAGAAGACUUUGGCACCGCUAGUCUCCUGCUUCUUUCUAAACUUGUACCAGUGUCCCAAGUCACCACAUUUUGGCUUCUUGAAAUCCCCCACAGUGCCUCACUUUAGUCUGCCUGACAGAUUGGGGCAGGGAUCUUGUGGAGAACAUCCCACAGCAGUGAAAAGAAAUAGCAUGCACGCCUUAUCCAGUAGCUCCAUGGCUAGGGCACGCGUCUGAAAUGCUGGAAAUCCCAGAUCAGCUUUCUAUUUAGGAACCAUUGCUUAUGAAAAUGACACCUGCUCUGAACUCUACCUGCUGCUUGUAGCUCCAAAGCAUUUCCAGUUUUCCUGUCUCAUCAGCUCUCCAAAUGUGGGUAGAAGAAUUUCUGGUUGCUUGUCUCUGAUCCCUCCAUGAGCCGUUCCCAGUAGUUUAAUGCUUUAUAAUCCAACAAGAGACAGUGGGUCUGUAGUGGAACCUCAUUUGAGCCUGGAUGCUACACGUACCUGUCACAUAAUGGUAACAGUAAGAGGCAGCAGGGAGGGAAGGCCAUCUUUUAAACCUAAUUUUCUGCACCUGGGGACAUGAGCGGCUCUGUGCUCCGCUGUACAGAUGGUAAAGUAAAAGAUUUUGUGAUACACUCCAAAGAUUCAAGAAACCCAUCAGAAAGAAGACAUUUAAUUCUCCAGUGUGGAUCAUGCUUUCAUUUACCUCGUAUGAGUUACAAUCUGAGCUUGGCCUCAAAUUGGCCUUGUUGCUGGAUAGGUGAAAAGGAUUUUUGUAUAAAAUACAAAUAUUUUCUAAUUUAUUAAGUGUCUAAAUUAAAAGUAAACAUAUUGCCAUUCUAGUAUUGCAGUUUGUAAAUAUCAAAGGGAUUACAAACUUUAUGUGGUGCAAGCAAAUUGGACCAAAGCAGCAGCUCUUAUAGUCACAGGAACUAGAUUAAACUCUGGAUUUUCACAUAC
This is a long non-coding RNA of Hirundo rustica (Barn swallow), 1557 nucleotides long. RefSeq lists it as uncharacterized. The record is from RefSeq and is a predicted model, not a curated record. The transcript has 9 exons. Lineage: Eukaryota; Metazoa; Chordata; Aves; Passeriformes; Hirundinidae.